GAUGAACGCUGGCGGCGUGCCUAAUACAUGCAAGUCGAGCGAACAGACGAGGCUCUUGCUCCUCUGACGUUAGCGGCGGGCGGGUGAGUCACACGUGGAUAACCUCCAUAUAAGACUUAGAUAACUUCGGGAAGCCGGAGCUAAUACCGGAUCAUAUAUUGAACCGCAGGGUUCAAUAGUGAAAGCGGGUUUUGCUGUCACUUAUAGCUGGAUCCGCGCCGCAUUAGCUAGUUGGUAAGGUAACGGCUUACCAAGGCGGCGAUGCGUAGCCGACCUGAGAGGCUGAUCGGCCACACGAGAACGUAGACGCGGACAAUACUCCUACGGGAGGGAGCAGUAGGGUAUCGGCGGCAAUGGGCGAGAGCCUGACGGAGCAAGGGCGCGCGUGUUACGAAGGUGUUCGGAUCGUGAUGCCCGGUUACGAGUUAUGAACCAAUGUGGACGUAACUAUAGCCGUCGUGACGGUACCUGAACAGAAAGCCCCGGCUAACUACGUG
Molecule: ribosomal RNA, 497 nt
Filed under: uncultured bacterium
Lineage: Bacteria
Description: partial 16S ribosomal RNA
Rfam family: Bacterial small subunit ribosomal RNA
Source: RNAcentral